Scylla paramamosain (green mud crab) is the source of this 1163-nucleotide long non-coding RNA. RefSeq lists it as uncharacterized. The transcript is spliced from 2 exons. The record is from RefSeq and is a predicted model, not a curated record. NCBI's taxonomy places the organism in Eukaryota, Metazoa, Arthropoda, Malacostraca, Decapoda, Portunidae.
AGUAGUAGUAGUAGUAGCAGUAGUAGUAACAAUAAUAAUAAUACUAAUACUAAUACUAAUAAUAAUAUUCUACACCAUAAUUUGUUACUUUUCUCUCUCUCUCUCUCUCUCUCUCUCUCUCUCUCUCUCUCUCUCUCUCUCUCUCUCUCUCUCUCUCUCUCUCUCUCUCUGGAAAUCAGGGAAAGGCUUACCAACAUGGCGGACAAGUGGCGUCAGUACUCACCCCUGCUUCUCAUCCUCGACUUGAAAUCUAUGCCACUGGCCAAAUCGUCGACUAUUUUCAAAGUCUUCUGCAUCCACUCUCAGUAUGUGAGGCUCCCUGGAGGUUCGUUGGCAUUGUGCGUUUUGAUCUUCACUCGUGCCAUCCUUGUUACAUGUCAAUACAAUAAUAUAACCUACAAGGGGCCGAGGCCCGACACACAACACAACUAAAGGACAGAAAAUGGAAGGAGCCUACCUAUGUACCUCAGUUCAGCAGUCCAGCAGCCUCUAAAAGCCCACGCAACUGCCCUGCAUGAGGUACGACCUGACCCUAUCCAACGUUUUUGCUGGAACCUUCCUCACUGGCUUAAUUAAGGCAGCUGCCCUUCUAAGGGCCCCCCUUGAGGCACUGCCCGCGGGGUUCACCUUCACCAGUGAGGAGGACACUAAGGGCGAAAAGAGAAAUACAGUGGAGAGAAAAGAUGCCUGGGCGGGACUCAACAACACCACCACCACCACCACGGAGUCCCCGGUACACAGGGCUUGGGAGGGUUCCCAGGUGGAAUUCUCCCUGUUGUGCAGGACAAGCACAGACGUCACUGGCAGGAUGUAGGUAGCUGGCAGUGUGGCGGGGCACAGCGGUGUUUCCACUCGCCCUCAGACCUUCACGUGGCACUCCCUAUAUAAGGCACACCAUUCUGUCUAAUCUUUUAAAGCUCCCUAGUGACUCAGCACCCACAGCCACAUUACGGAGUCCACCUGUUCAUCCACCACUCUAUCUGAGAACCACUUCCCUCCUGUCUAUUUCUCAAACGUAUUUUUUAUUCAAGUUUGCAUCGUUACCUGCCGCAGCCUUACCCUGAUUAGUGAGCCUGGACAUUUUACCUUUGUUACCCUUGAAAUAUUGAGGAUGUAUCUUGCGUUUUCUAUGGUUGCGUUAAAAAGAAAAUGUGUAUUAUUAC